CCUGCGAAGGAUCAUC
RNAcentral lists this ribosomal RNA (16 nucleotides) under Dendronephthya sp. SJ2001_2. RNAcentral's name for it is "partial 18S ribosomal RNA". The record is from RNAcentral. Lineage: Eukaryota; Metazoa; Cnidaria; Anthozoa; Malacalcyonacea; Nephtheidae.